Molecule: transfer RNA, 72 nt
Filed under: Heterocephalus glaber (naked mole-rat)
Lineage: Eukaryota; Metazoa; Chordata; Mammalia; Rodentia; Bathyergidae
Rfam family: tRNA
About the family: Transfer RNA (tRNA) molecules are approximately 80 nucleotides in length. Their secondary structure includes four short double-helical elements and three loops (D, anti-codon, and T loops). Further hydrogen bonds mediate the characteristic L-shaped molecular structure. tRNAs have two regions of fundamental functional importance: the anti-codon, which is responsible for specific mRNA codon recognition, and the 3' end, to which the tRNAs corresponding amino acid is attached (by aminoacyl-tRNA synthetases). tRNAs cope with the degeneracy of the genetic code in two manners: having more than one tRNA (with a specific anti-codon) for a particular amino acid; and 'wobble' base-pairing, i.e. permitting non-standard base-pairing at the 3rd anti-codon position.
Source: Rfam by way of RNAcentral
AGAAAUAUAGCUUAGUGGUAGAGCUCUCGCCUAACACGCUUGAGGUCCUGGGUUCGAUCCCCAGCACUACAA